UACGGGGGGGGCAAGCGUUGUUCGGAAUUACUGGGCGUAAAGGGCUCGUAGGUGGCCAACUAAGUCAGACGUGAAAUCCCUCGGCUUAACCGGGGAACUGCGUCUGAUACUGGAUGGCUUGAGGUUGGGAGAGGGAUGCGGAAUUCCAGGUGUAGCGGUGAGAUGCGUAGAUAUCUGGAGGAACACCGGUGGCGAAGGCGGCAUCCUGGACCAAUUUGACGCUGAGGAGCGAAAGCCAGGGGAGCAAACGGG
This 252-nucleotide ribosomal RNA is filed under the name uncultured bacterium. RNAcentral describes it as "partial 16S ribosomal RNA". It matches the Rfam family "Bacterial small subunit ribosomal RNA", at positions 524 to 776 of the family's 1533-position model. The record is from RNAcentral.